Molecule: ribosomal RNA, 301 nt
Filed under: uncultured bacterium
Lineage: Bacteria
Description: partial 16S ribosomal RNA
Rfam family: Bacterial small subunit ribosomal RNA
Source: RNAcentral
CAGUCGCCGCGGGAAUACGAAGGGGGCUAGCGUUGUUCGGAUUUACUGGGCGUAAAGCGCACGUAGGCGGAUCGAUCAGUCAGGGGUGAAAUCCCAGAGCUCAACUCUGGAACUGCCUUUGAUACUGUCGAUCUGGAGUAUGGAAGAGGUGAGUGGAAUUCCGAGUGUAGAGGUGAAAUUCGUAGAUAUUCGGAGGAGCGCCAGUGGCGAAGGCGGCUCACUGGUCCAUUACUGACGCUGAGGUGCGAAAGCGUGGGGAGCAAACAGGAUUAGAUACCCGCGUAGUCCCUGUCUCUUAUAC